Molecule: ribosomal RNA, 558 nt
Filed under: uncultured Talaromyces
Lineage: Eukaryota; Fungi; Ascomycota; Eurotiomycetes; Eurotiales; Trichocomaceae
Description: eukaryotic LSU rRNA
Rfam family: 5.8S ribosomal RNA (bases 185-338)
Source: RNAcentral
GGCCUUUUCGAGGGGCGGGGCUCGCGGCCCACCUCCCACCCUUGUCUCUCUACACCUGUUGCUUUGGCGGGCCCACUGGGGCUCCCUGGUCGCCGGGGGACACCCGUCCCCGGGCCCGCGCCCGCCGAAGCGCUUCGUGAACCCUGAUGAAGAAGGGCUGUCUGAGUACUAUGAAAAUUGUCAAAACUUUCAACAAUGGAUCUCUUGGUUCCGGCAUCGAUGAAGAACGCAGCGAAAUGCGAUAAGUAAUGUGAAUUGCAGAAUUCCGUGAAUCAUCGAAUCUUUGAACGCACAUUGCGCCCCCUGGCAUUCCGGGGGGCAUGCCUGUCCGAGCGUCAUUUCUGCCCUCAAGCACGGCUUGUGUGUUGGGUGUGGUCCCCCCGGGGACCUGCCCGAAAGGCAGCGGCGACGUCCGUCUGGUCCUCGAGCGUAUGGGGCUCUGUCACUCGCUCGGGAAGGACCUGCGGGGGUUGGUCACCACCACAUUUUCCAUUAUGGUUGACCUCGGAUCAGGUAGGAGUUACCCGCUGAACUUAAGCAUAUCAAUAAGCGGAGGAA